Long non-coding RNA from Phragmites australis (common reed), 1812 nucleotides. RefSeq lists it as uncharacterized. NCBI's taxonomy places the organism in Eukaryota, Viridiplantae, Streptophyta, Magnoliopsida, Poales, Poaceae. The transcript is spliced from 3 exons. The record is from RefSeq and is a predicted model, not a curated record.
UCAUAUAAUAUGAGCCAGUAGUAUUGUCCUGUGUAGAUUGAUGUUUAGAUUGUUCAUAUAUUAAUUAAACCAUAAUCCAUGUAUAGCAUCAAGAUGUGCUGCACAACAAUCGUAUGAAAGUGUUCUCGAGAAAAAAAAGAGAGAUUGUUCUCGAAAGAUUAAUAGGGCAAGAAAUCAAUAUUUUGUAACAAGGCGAACAUUCUCAAAUCAGAAGCUUGAGAGGAGUCUACCCAGGUCUCUUGUCAGUUGGUCACAAUAUCACAGUAGGUGAAUAGGACAAGGUCCAUAUUGUUGCGUUGCGUGUCUCAUAAUAUGAAGCAACAUCAGUUGAUGGGAAAUUUUGUAUAGAAAACUGUAUUUAUGCUGAAAAGGAGUAAAGUAGUCUUGGUGGAAACUAUUACAUAAUCUUACUGGUUGUGUUUGAACUCUGAAGGCUAUUUAACGUUGGCAUCGUCCUGUCCUCUCCACAGGCAGAAACACUUCUCAAGGCUCAGCAAGAUAUGGGUGAAACAAUAGGAGCGCUCAGAUUGGCAUUUAUCAAACUAACAAAGUUUGAGAUUGAGGAGGCAAUGUAUGACUUGUAGAGAAUAAGAGCAGCUGACAGGUACGCUGCAUGAUCAUUUGAGCAUAAUGUUGUCUGUCCAUACUGCAUAUUUACUGUAAACACUCAUGUCAGAUCUGGCAUCGUUACAGUCCAGGAUUGAGAAACUUGAACCUGCAGCGUCGAAGAUAUUUGGUGGUGAUGGAGCUAGACUUUGCAGAAUUGAAGAGCUAAGGGAAAAAAAUAAGGGCUACUGAAAAUGCUAAGUUAUGUGCUUUAAGGGAGUAUGAGAGAAUAAAGAUAAUGAAUGUUCCAGAGCAAGAAUUGGGCGACCAUUGCUGCUAUUGUUUAUUCCAUGCUUUCAUUACUAAUCCUUUAACCUCGUAUAACUGUGACCAUCAUUUUGUCCUUCUUAUGCAAAAUCAAUUUCAUGUACUGGCGCAGUAAGCUUUACAUAUUGCUCCCAUCUUGUUGUUUGUGUGAAAAUAGAAACUAUAAUCAGCAAUAGAAAGGACUGGUGUCUUGAUAGCUGGGAGUAAUAUGGUUUUCAGGAGGCUGUAUUUAAAUAGGGGCCUGAAGAUUUAGAAUUGCUUUUGAAGAUAUAUUCUGCAAUAUCCAUAUCCAUUUAUUCAUGUUCUGAGAUAUGCUCCCUUGUAACUUUGGAGCAAACCAUAAGUUAUUUUUAUUUGCCUGCUUGCAUGGGUCAUAUAUCCUUGAUGUUAGGCACCUGGUUGGCAAUUAUAAAAUAGCAGCAGCAAUAGCAGUUCUUCCCUCUAGCUUGCCUUUGUUGUUGUAACUUAUAAAGUAGUUUGGUUUCAAUUAUGUUUUGCACUUUGCUUUUGAUGAAAUCUCACUUUGGUGAGGCAACUGAGAUCUGAUAGAUACCUCAUGUUGUGCUGAUAUAAUGCGCAGGAAAACAACAGAAGUGAACUCCAGAGGCUAGACAGAGAAAGGAAGGAAGAUUUCCUGGGGAUACUAAAAAUAUUUGUUACAAGUCAGCAUGCUAACGGCGCGUCAUUUUUCUAGUUCAAUCUAGAAUAGAAGACAUGCAAAUAUAUAUUAUUUUGUACAGUUAUUCUUUAGUUUCGUAGAUAUAUUUUAUGCCAUCUAUUAGAUCACUUCUCUUUGUACUCAACACAAUUUUGGGGAAUGUUUUGUAGAUCAUUGUGGUAGGAUGCAUGGGGUGUAUUGUAUAUAUGAAAUGUAGUCGUCGAAACUCUUCUCUGACUUUCAUAUCGGCCAAAUCAGUUUCAACUUGGAUGAUAUUUGAA